CCCCCACCAGGGCAAACCCUGCUCUACCAUAGAAAUGAUGCAUUGACCUGUUGUACUUAUUUCUCUAAUGUGGAAGAGUCUAUUCUGAAGCUUGUCUGUCCAUUCUGUCCCAGGGCCAUUGUAGCGCUGGUGUACAAUGUUCUAAAGGCCUUCAUGGAAAUGAACAGUACCUUAUUCGAUGAGCUCACCGCCACCUACAAGUCAGACCGUCAGCGUGAGAAGAAGAAGGAGAAGGAGCGUGAGGAGCUGUGGAAGAAGCUGGAGGACCUGGAGCUGAAGCGGGGCCUUAGGAGUGACGGGAUCAUCCCCACUUAACAGAGACAGAGCCCUGCUCCCCGUUCGUCCCACUCCCUUCCACUUCAGCCAUGUCUGCCCAGAGCUCGUGAUACAGGCUGUGGUCUCUGGACUUCCACAGCACCGCUGGUUUCUUAAUCCUUUUAUUAUGAUUUUGUUCUGUUUUGUUUCCUCUUGUGUUUGUGCGACUUAGUUUACUGUAGAUUCAUCACGUCUGUUUUCAUUAUUUCAGCAGCACUGUAAAUAAUUAUUUUCCCCUAAUGUUAUUGCAAAGAGAUAAAAAAAGAACAACAAUAAUAAAAAGGAAAAAACAGAAAUGGAGAAAAUGACUUGUGUGUGAGAGGGGAAUCUAAACAAAAACAAAAACAAAAAAACCAGAUGGCAUCAAAAAGCCAUUAGGUUCCUGGGUUUUUCUUCACCCCACUCCUCUUUUUCAGUGCAUCGCACAUUUAACUUUCAUUUUCGCUCCUCUUGUUGGUGUCCUCUCCUGUCUGCGCUGUUUGGAUUGACUAGAUUCAGCGUUGCCCUCCAAAAGCAGUCCAAAACUGUGGUCUCUCGCCUGUUGGCAGUUUGUCCAUCCUGCAGGAACAGACCCACUCUGUAGACGGGGCCUUUCCAAAGCCCUCCGAGUGUGUUUACAUGCAUGGUCAGGAAUGUCACAGGAAAAGCUAGAAGAUGUCUGGGUUAUGUUUAGUUCAACAUGUAGGCUUUCCUUUUAUUUUAGAGGAAGAUUAGCUGAAUUUGAAGAUCCUGAUGUGAAGAUGUUUAUUCAAAUGGCUCCAGCACAGAAUAAUAAUGCAGCAGGUUUGUUAAUGCAGUCAGUUUGGAAUCCUCUUCAUUUCUGCAUGAAUACACGAGUCUGCAAGCUGUUGUUGGUCGAUACAUUUAUGUACUGAAAACUGUAGGAUUUUUGGCUUUAGUGCAUUUAAUGAACGGGGAGACUAAUUUUUAGUAUUUUGAUCACCAGUCAUGGGAAAAUUCUUGCUGACUGGUGCAACUGAUAAACAGCCUCUGAUUUUACUGAUAAUUGGUGAACAGCAGCAGUCAAAAACAGAAGGAUAAUUUCCUGUCGAUGCCUGAUUCUUUUCCUGUUGAAGUUGGUGCUCUAGCGAUCUUCAGUUAGAUUCAGGGUUAAUUGUUUUUCCUUUGCUUUAGUGCCAUCUAGUGGUGGGAACAGCAGAAAUGGCAAAAAAAAAAAAAA
Long non-coding RNA from Poecilia latipinna (sailfin molly), 1495 nucleotides. RefSeq lists it as uncharacterized. The transcript is spliced from 2 exons. Lineage: Eukaryota; Metazoa; Chordata; Actinopteri; Cyprinodontiformes; Poeciliidae. The record is from RefSeq and is a predicted model, not a curated record.